RNAcentral lists this ribosomal RNA (253 nucleotides) under uncultured bacterium. Its description in RNAcentral is "partial 16S ribosomal RNA". It matches the Rfam family "Bacterial small subunit ribosomal RNA", at positions 524 to 776 of the family's 1533-position model. The record is from RNAcentral.
UACGGAGGGUGCAAGCGUUAUCCGGAUUCACUGGGUUUAAAGGGUGCGUAGGAGGGCAGGUAAGUCAGUGGUGAAAUCCCCGAGCUUAACUUGGGAACUGCCGUUGAUACUAUCUGUCUUGAAUAUUGUGGAGGUAAGCGGAAUAUGUCAUGUAGCGGUGAAAUGCUUAGAUAUGACUUAGAACACCAAUUGCGAAGGCAGCUUGCUAAACAAAUAUUGACGCUGAGGCACGAAAGCGUGGGGAUCAAACAGG